This 460-nucleotide ribosomal RNA is filed under the name uncultured bacterium. RNAcentral describes it as "partial 16S ribosomal RNA". It matches the Rfam family "Bacterial small subunit ribosomal RNA", at positions 338 to 795 of the family's 1533-position model. The record is from RNAcentral.
CCUACGGGUGGCAGCAGUGAGGAAUAUUGGUCAAUGGGCGGAAGCCUGAACCAGCCAAGUCGCGUGAGGGAUUAAGGCCCUGCGGGUCGUAAACCUCUUUUGCCGGGGAGCAGGGGUCGGGACGUGUCCGGUCCUGGGGAGUCCCCGGAGAAAAAGCAUCGGCUAACUCCUUGCCAGCAGCCGCGGUAAUACGGAGGAUGCGAGCGUUCUCCGGAUUUAUUGGGUUUAAGGGGUGGGUAGGCGGGCAUUUAAGCCGGCGGUAAAAUGUCGGGGCUCAACCCGGGCCUGCCGUUGGAACUGGGUGCCUUGAGUGGGCGAGAAGUAGGCGGAAUGCGUGGUGUAGCGGUGAAAUGCAUAGAUAUCACGCAGAACCCCGAUUGCGAAGGCAGCAUACCGGCGCGCUACUGACGCUGAGGCACGAAAGUGCGGGUAUCGAACAGGAUUAGAUACCCGUGUAGUC